This 380-nucleotide unclassified non-coding RNA is filed under the name fungal sp. Its description in RNAcentral is "partial internal transcribed spacer region". The stretch from base 1 to 46 matches the Rfam family "Eukaryotic small subunit ribosomal RNA", at positions 1786 to 1831 of the family's 1831-position model. Lineage: Eukaryota; Fungi. The record is from RNAcentral.
AAGUCGUAACAAGGUUUCCGUAGGUGAACCUGCGGAAGGAUCAUUACCACGUCCCAAACGUAUCAACCAACGCGAAUAGUUUUCGACUUCUCCCAUCCACAGAGAAUGAGCUGAAUCGCACGAGUGCGUGUGCGGGAUCUGAAAAUUGAUCAGCGAGUGCGUAAACAACUUAUGGUUCCGAAAGGGCUAUAGACAGCUGUAUUUCUGGGAUGGCUUUUCUCGCUACCUUCGGUUUCCGACACCGAUUGGAGGUAGUGGGAGUAACAAACAUUAUUCACCGCUUUGCUAGUUGACUUGAUUCUGUUACUUUCGCUUCGGCGUGAGUAUCACGUUUUUAAUUAAACACAAUACAACUCUUAGCAAUGGAUAUCUAGGUUCUC